Molecule: unclassified non-coding RNA, 4735 nt
Filed under: Hevea brasiliensis (rubber tree)
Lineage: Eukaryota; Viridiplantae; Streptophyta; Magnoliopsida; Malpighiales; Euphorbiaceae
Source: RNAcentral
CGAAAAACAAAACCACCAGCACUGUUGGACAUCCAAAGCCGGCCAAGAAAUUGUGAAAUCAGCUUUUUGUCGUCUUCGUCCUCAAAGGACUAAUUUUUUUUACAGCUUCUUCUUCUUCAUUUUCAAAAGCUCUGGACCAUUUGCUUUACAUUUCUCUUAACUACCUUUAAACCACUUAUUUGCAAAGAGGAAAAACCAACCAUGGCUGAAUUGGUAGGAGGAGCAAUUCUUUCCGCUUUCCUCCCGGUUUUGUUUGAGCGGCUGGCUUCCCCUGAAUUUCGAAAAUUCUUCGACGGCCAAAUUCUCCAAGGCGAACUCAAGAAAUUGAAGAUAACGUUGAAUUCUGUUAAUGGACUGCUCACUGAUGCAGAGGAGAAGCAGAUCACUAAGCCUGAUGUGAAAAAUUGGCUCGACCACCUCAGAGAAGCUAUCUACGAAGCAGAUGACUUGCUGGAUGAGAUAGAGUAUAGAGCACUUAAAUCGAAGUUGAAAGCUACUUCUUUGAUGGAGAAGGCGACGGGAUUUAUCUCCAAAUACAAGAUCAGACAAAGGUUGGAAACCAUCCUUAACACACUUCAACUUUUGUUAGACCAAAACGACACACUAGGUCUUGCAGAAAAACUGUCUUUGCCGCCGAAAACACCAACUACUUCUCUGCGAGAUGAUGAUGAUGAUUCCGAAAUUGAUAGUAGAGUUAAGGACAAGGAUGCCAUCAUAGAAUCUCUACUAUCUGAUUCUGAUUCCUUGGUUGUGAUGCCCAUCUGGGGCAUGGGUGGGAUCGGUAAAACUACUCUGGCUCAACUCGUCUACAAUGAUACAAGAAUAGAAGCUCAAUUUCAACACAGACCAUGGAUCUUUGUAUCAGAAGUAUUCGACGUUACCAGGGUAACGAAAGAUAUUCUCAGGGUGGUCAAUCCAGAGUCUUCAAACUAUGAUAAUUUGGAUCUGCUCCAACGACAACUGCUGAAGGAAUUUUCCUCGAUGGAGAGAAAACUUUUGAUUGUUUUGGAUGAUUUUUGGAGCGAUAAUACUGGUGAUUGGUACGCUUUCCUAAAACCCUUCUUACAGGUUGGGGCAAGAAAAGGAAUGAUUAAGAUCGUUGUUACAACCCGCCAUGAAAGCGUGGCAAGCCUCACCCUCACAGGGCCUGUUGAAGUUCGUCAUUUGAACGAAUUAACAGAUAGGGAAUGCUGGUGCUUGCUUGAAAAGCAUGCAUUUGUCAAAGAUGAUUCCAAUGCUUAUCCUCAGUUGAAAGCGCUUGGUGAGAAAAUUGCAAAAAAUUGUCGUGGUCUACCCUUAGCAGCAAAAACCAUCGGACGACUGUUAAGUGCAGAAAGAGAUGUUCAGAAGUGGAAGGAAAUAUCGAGCAGCGAUAUAUGGGAUCUAAAGAAUGAAGACAUUAAUUCAGCGCUAAGAUUGAGCUACCAUUAUCUCUCAUCGCUUUCAAAAAGGUGUUUUGCUUAUUGUGCUCUAUUUCCCAAAGGUUAUGAAUUUGGCAAGGAAGAAGUAGUUCUUCUAUGGAUGGCAGAGGGCUUCUUUGUCCAAGCCCAAGGAAAUAACUCAAAGAAGGAGAUGGAAGAAAUAGGUAACGACCAAUUCAAUGAUCUUGUGACAAGAUCUUUUUUCCAACGAUCUAAAGGCAGUAAAUCACACUUUGUUAUGCAUGAUCUCUUCAACGACCUAGCUAAAUUUGUUUCUGGAGAAUUUUGCUCUCGAUUGGAGGGCAACAACUCGAGCAACAUUGUUAAGAGGACCCGUCAUGUCUCGUAUGCAGAUGUGGAUCUUGAUUCACUCCAGAAAUUUUCAGGCGCUUGUAAAGACAAUGUUUUGCGUACUUUCAUAUCAUUGAAGCCGUUGGAGAGGCGGUCGACUCUCAAAAGGCGGUCGACUCUCAAGACUGAUGAGGUAAUACAUGGUUUAUUGCAGACACUCGGUCGUCCCCUACGAGUACUAUCUUUAUCUCAGUAUCAAAUGGUUGAUUUGAGUGAUUCAAUUAGCAAAUUCAAGCUACUACGAUAUCUGAAUCUCUCUGGAACAUCAAUCAAAAGCUUCUCCACACCUACCAAACUGUAUUUCUUGCAAAUUUUGAUCUUGCGUGAGUGUCCAAACUUAGUUGCGUUGCCGAGUAACUUGUCAAAAUUAAUCAAAUUAUGUCAUCUUGACAUUAGAGGAACUGAACUGCAAGAGAUGCCACCACAAAUGGGUGAACUCAAAAAGCUCCGGAAGUUGACUGAUUUCUUUCUAGGAAAACAGAGCGUGUCUAGCAUCAAGGAAUUGGGGAAGCUUCAAGAACUUCAGGGAGAGCUUUGUAUCUGGAAUCUCCAGCACGUUGAGAAGGCCAAAGAUGCUGCAGAAGCCAACUUGUGCGGUAAGGAGAAACUUGUGAAAUUGGAGUUGAGAUGGGACUGGGACAUCCAAGCUAGUAUUGAUCCGAAGCAUGAAAAAAGUGUGCUGGAGUCGUUAGAACCCCAUAAAGGGUUGGACUAUCUUUCAAUUUAUGGUUAUGGAGGUACCAGAUUUCCAGAUUGGGUAGGACACUCUUCUUUUUCUUGUAUGGUGUCGCUGGAGUUGACUGGAUGUGGAAACUGCUCUUCUUUGCCACCACUUGGGCAGCUACCAUCUCUAGAAUACCUUACUAUUGGAUACUUCUAUAAAGUGGAGGUUGUUGGUCGUGAGUUCUAUGGAAGUUGCGCAUCCAUGAAGAAGCCAUUUGGAUCGUUGAAAGUUCUGAGAUUUUCAUAUAUGAGAGGAUGGCGUGAGUGGAUUUCAUGUGAAGGAGCCUUUCCUGUCCUUCAAGAGCUCCACGUAAGGAGAAGUAACAACCUAGAGAGGGUUGCCCUGCCUGGUCAUCUUCCUUGUUUAACAACACUAGAUGUUGGUGGUUGUCAGCAGUUUGCAGCUGCACUUCAAAGCGCUCCAGCUAUACUUAGAGUGAUUACUGCAGAUGUGCAAUUGAAGAAACUGCCUUCUGGGUUGUACAGCCUCAUAAGUUAUAGAUUCGAGUUUGCAACGGAGAUAAUGGAAAGAAUUGGUCUUCUUCCUAUUGCUUUAGAAGAAAUUGUAAUCUAUAACUCUUAUUCACUUGGGAGCUUUCCACUAAAAUUGUUUAGUGAGGUCAAGACUCUCAAAGUAGGAAGAUGUGGAAAUCUGGAUGAUUUUUUAACACCUGAGGCAAAUGCGAAUUUUACAUCUCUUGAUUCCUUGCAAAUUGAGGAAUGCCAUUAUUUCGUAUCUUUUCCUGAAGGAGGAUUGCCCGCCUCAAAUUUGACAAGACUUUCAUUAUAUGAUUGCUCGAGUUUGAAGUCACUACCUCAGAUUAUGCGCUCUCUUCUCUCUUCCCUUGUUGAUUUGAGUAUGAUGCGUUGUCCAGUGCUAGAGUCGUUUCCUAAGGAUGGGCUACCCUCCUCCCUUUCUUCUCUAAUUAUCCGUUAUUGUCCACAACUCGAGCCAUUCCCAAAAGGAUGUUUGCCUGAAAAAUUAGAAUCGCUGGAUGUUGGCCAUUGCAACGAACUGAUCGCAGGCCACAUGCAAUGGGAUCUGCAAACCCUCCCCUCUCUUGUGAAAUUUGCUAUUGAAAGCUGUGACGAUGUGGAAGCUUUUCCAGGGGAGAUGCUGCUGCCAUCUACUCUUAUCUCUCUUGAAAUUAAUGAUUUUCAAAACCUGAAAUCCAUAGACUACAAGGGACUUCAAGACCUCAAAAAUUUGACUGUAGUCAAUUGUCCAAUGCUUGAGUUGUUUCUGGGAGGGGUUUUGCCAUCUCAAUUAGAAUCACUUCGCAUUUAUCAGUGCAGCAAACUCAUUGCUCACCUCAUGCAUUGGGAUUUGCGAGCAGUGUCCUCUCUUUUGGAGCUUACCAUUGAUGGGUACGAUGGCGUUGACAUGGUCUCCUUUCCUGGGAAGAUGCUGCUGCCAUCCACUCUUACCUCACUUAAUCUCUUCAGUCUUGAGAAUCUGAAGUUUCUGGACAAGGGGCUUCUGCACCUCACCUCUCUUAAAAAAUUGAGGAUAGAUCGAUGCUAUAAUCUUCAAUCCCUGCCUGAAGAAGGGCUGCCGUCGUCCAUUACUUCGCUAGAUAUCGUUGUUUGCCGUUUGUUGCAACCGAAGUGUGAAUUUGGUGGGGAAUAUUGGCCAUUGAUUUCUCAAAUCCCUCAAGUAAUGAUGGACUAGAUGAUCUCUGGUUUAUCAUUCAUCCAAACUCUUGAAGUAUUGGAGCAUCAAAUCUCCACAACAGUAGAUUCAAAAAUCUAGAGGCUUGUAAUUGAUUCCACUCUGAGCCCAAUUCCAGGUGAACUAUGAUGUUGUGUUUCGCAAUUGGAAAGUAUUUUUGGUGGACAAAAUCUAUGGUCAAAUGAUCAGUCCUUGGGAGAAGCGACAGCCAUAUUCGCGCAAUUGGGCUACUAAUGCAGGAUGCAAAAUCCUGGCAAUGACAUUAAUAUCUUUCCACUAGCUGUCUGCUGCAAUCGAGAAAAUAGUAUUGUGAUGCAUUUUAUUCUCUCCGAUUAUUCUCUCCCCAUUCCAUUGUAUUUGCUAACACAUGCAUAUUAUUUUUAUGAGAUCAGAAACAUUUGAAAGCAAAUUUGCUUCAUUUUUGUUUUGCAAUAUUCUUAAGAGAUAUCUUUUUAUUUUUGAUUUGAGGAUUGAAGUUUAGAUUACUUGACAAACUACUUUCAAGAAUAAAAAAUUCAUCAAAUGCUCAUGUAUGCAUACCCGAAAUAUUCCUUAAAUAAAAUGGGUG